Molecule: long non-coding RNA, 612 nt
Filed under: Marmota monax (woodchuck)
Lineage: Eukaryota; Metazoa; Chordata; Mammalia; Rodentia; Sciuridae
Source: RNAcentral
GAAAGUUAGAGAGUCUCAAAAUUAAAAAAAUAAAAAAGACUCGGGAUGUAACUCAGUGGUAAGCAUCCCUGAGUUCAAUUCCCUGUACAAAAAAAAAGACUUGUGGGGAUUGCCUUUGGGGGAUUUUUCAAUGACCAACUCUGGUCUACCUCCCUGUUGGCUGGAAGGUGAUCGGCUUUCCCAGUUUGCCUGAGAAUAAGGGGCUUCCUAGGACAUGGAACUUUUGGUGCCCAAACUAGGCCCACCAGGAUAUAUUAGGGACCCUGAUUAAUGGAGUGCCAUCUUUACUAAUUAUAGUACAACUUAGUUCCUGGUUUGCAGAAUAACCCCUCUCUCACUGGACAUGGUCUUGGUGGGUUCUCUCUCCAGGUCGUGGAUGGAUUCCUGACUCAAGCCAGAACAGCCAGCCUCAGAGUGUUUGCCUUCCUGUUGUUUCUCAGCUUGUUAUUCAGCCUUUCCUUUGACUCUGUGGGGUACCCUUUAUGGCUUCCCAGUAAAUUUCUUUUUGGUUUCUGUUAAUUGGUUCUACUGCUUACAAUCACCUCUCCUCUCUCCUCUGUACAUCAGUGAAAACCUUCCGUAUGUUGACAGUCCAGAUCCUUGCUACACACC